Molecule: ribosomal RNA, 468 nt
Filed under: uncultured bacterium
Lineage: Bacteria
Description: partial 16S ribosomal RNA
Rfam family: Bacterial small subunit ribosomal RNA
Source: RNAcentral
GACGAACGCUGGCGGCGUGCUUAACACAUGCAAGUCGAACGGAAAGGCCCUGCUUUUGUGGGGUGCUCGAGUGGCGAACGGGUGAGUAACACGUGAGUAACCUGCCCUUGACUUUGGGAUAACUUCAGGAAACUGGGGCUAACACCGGAUAGGAGCUCCUGCUGCAUGGUGGGGGUUGGAAAGUUUCGGCGGUUGGGGAUGGACUCGCGGCUUAUCAGCUUGUUGGUGGGGUAGUGGCUUACCAAGGCUUUGACGGGUAGCCGGCCUGAGAGGGUGACCGGCCACAUUGGGACUGAGAUACGGCCCAGACUCCUACGGGAGGCAGCAGUGGGGAAUAUUGCACAAUGGGCGGAAGCCUGAUGCAGCAACGCCGCGUGCGGGAUGACGGCCUUCGGGUUGUAAACCGCUUUCGCCUAUGACGAAGCGUGAGUGACGGUAAUGGGUAAAGAAGCACCGGCUAACUACGUG